Molecule: small nuclear RNA, 107 nt
Filed under: Mus spicilegus (steppe mouse)
Lineage: Eukaryota; Metazoa; Chordata; Mammalia; Rodentia; Muridae
Source: RNAcentral
AUGCUCGCUUCGGCAGCACAUAUACAAAAAUUGGAACGGUACAGAGAAGAUUAGCAUGGUGCCUGCGCAAGGAUGACACGCAAAUUCAUGAAGCGUUCCGUAUUUUU